GAGUUUAUUGGCUAUACGGGUUAUUUUUUGGUUGUUGUUUGUAUGUUUAGCGAUUAGCAGAUAACGCAGGGGGAGGAUUCCUAAACGAGAAACUGGCUAUACAGGUAUUUUUUUGGUUGUUGUUUGUAUGUUUAGCGGUUAGCAGAUAAUUGCCUAACACUGUCAGAAUUUUCUAUAUUAUAUGGACACAAAUGUAGAAUCCAAAUGUUGGAGGUUGGUAGUAAAGAGGCAGAGUUAGAGUUUAUUGGCUAUACGGGUUAUUUUUUGGUUGUUGUUUGUAUGUUUAGCGAUUAGCAGAUAACGCAGGGGGAGGAUUCCUAAACGAGAAACUGGCUAUACAGGUAUUUUUUUGGUUGUUGUUUGUAUGUUUAGCGGUUAGCAGAUAACGCAGGGGGAGAAUUCUUUACUAGCGCCAAACUUUUAAUAAUCUGACAUUCAAUAGCUUUUGAAUUC
Ciona intestinalis (vase tunicate) is the source of this 453-nucleotide non-coding RNA. Lineage: Eukaryota; Metazoa; Chordata; Ascidiacea; Phlebobranchia; Cionidae. The record is from RefSeq and is a predicted model, not a curated record.